RNAcentral lists this ribosomal RNA (838 nucleotides) under Carapoia sp. Br15-78. Its description in RNAcentral is "partial 28S ribosomal RNA". It matches the Rfam family "Eukaryotic large subunit ribosomal RNA", at positions 354 to 915 of the family's 3401-position model. Lineage: Eukaryota; Metazoa; Arthropoda; Arachnida; Araneae; Pholcidae. The record is from RNAcentral.
UGAGGGAAAGUUGCAAAGAACUUUGAAGAGAGAGUUCAAGAGUACGUGAAACUGCUCAGAGGGAAACGGGUGGGCCCUCGAAAUCCUCUUGCGGAGAGAUUCAGUCGGGAGACGGCGGGGCGGACGUCGGUAACGGACCCUCGUGAAGGACGGUUCCGGCGCCGCGGUCCCUCCGGAGCCCGACGCACUUCUCCCCGCACCGUGGACGCCGCAACCGAUCGGGUAGCAGCGAGAGUCUGCCAUGCGGCCGUUCCAGGCAGGUGGCCGGUCCCUCAGCCCCCCGGGGCGGAGAGAUCGGUUAUUCACGGGACGGCGCCGAGGCGAGACACCCGAUCGAGGUCAAUCGGUUCCCCGUGAGGGGAACACGUCGUCUCCGUCCACUCGUUGGGCGCGGGGGCCGCGCCAGUGAGCGCCGGCGCUGCCGUUUCCACUCUGCGUAGUGGCCGGCUCGUCGGUGGCCGUCGUUGGGCGCGGUCUGCAUCCGCGGUCGAGGGACGAUGCGGUUAGCGGCGAGUAGGUCGGUCACCCACCCGACCCGUCUUGAAACACGGACCAAGGAGUCUAACAUGUGCGCGAGUCGCAGGGUCUUGAACAGGCCCUCGGGCGCAAUGAAAGUGACGGCGUCCCCCUCUGCGGGGAGCCGGGUUGGGACUCCCGAUCCUGCGCGGUCGGGAAGCACCAACGACCCGUCCCUUCCGAUCCGUCGGUGGGGCGGAGUCGGAGCGUACACGUUGGGACCCGAAAGAUGGUGAACUAUGCCUGGGCAGAACGAAGCCAGAGGAAACUCUGGUGGAGGUUCGCAGCGGUUCUGACGUGCAAAUCGAUCGUCAGACCUGGG